GGGGGGGGGGGGGGGCGGGGUGGGCGCGUGCGAGUCGGACGGAAAGGCCCUGCUGUUGUGGGGUGCUCGAGUGGCGAACGGGUGAGUCACCCGUUAGUAACCUGCCCUUGACUUUGGGAUCACUUCAGGAAACUGGGGCUAAUACCGGAUCUGCGCUCCUGCUGCAUGGUGGUGGUUGUACAGUUUCCGCGGUUGGGGAUGGACUCGCGGGUUAUCAGCUUGUUGGUGGGGUAGUGGCUUCCCAAUGCUUUGACGGGUAGCCGGCCUGCGAGGGUGACCGGCCACAUUGGGACUGAGAUACGGCCCAGACUCCUACGGGAGGCAGCAGUGGGGAAUAUUGCACAAUGGGCGGAAGCCUGAUGCAGCAACGCCGCGUGCGGGAUGACGGCCUUCGGGUUGUAAACCGCCUUCGCCUGUGACGAAGCGUGAGUGACGGUAAUGGGUAAAGAAGCACCGGCUAACUACGUG
This 468-nucleotide ribosomal RNA is filed under the name uncultured bacterium. RNAcentral's name for it is "partial 16S ribosomal RNA". It matches the Rfam family "Bacterial small subunit ribosomal RNA", at positions 38 to 507 of the family's 1533-position model. The record is from RNAcentral.